RNAcentral lists this transfer RNA (61 nucleotides) under Bragasellus molinai. Its description in RNAcentral is "transfert RNA-H(CAC)". Lineage: Eukaryota; Metazoa; Arthropoda; Malacostraca; Isopoda; Asellidae. The record is from RNAcentral.
GUUUUAGUAGUUUAUACAAAAAUAGUAAUAUGUGAAAUUACAGAAAUUAAUUUAUAAAACA